RNAcentral lists this ribosomal RNA (253 nucleotides) under uncultured Eubacteriales bacterium. RNAcentral describes it as "uncultured Clostridiales bacterium partial 16S ribosomal RNA". It matches the Rfam family "Bacterial small subunit ribosomal RNA", at positions 524 to 776 of the family's 1533-position model. The record is from RNAcentral. Lineage: Bacteria; Bacillati; Bacillota; Clostridia; Eubacteriales.
UACGUAGGGGGCAAGCGUUAUCCGGAUUUACUGGGUGUAAAGGGAGCGUAGACGGUGAUGCAAGUCAGAAGUGAAAGCCCGGGGCUCAACUCCGGGACUGCUUUUGAAACUGUGUAGCUAGAGUGCAGGAGAGGUAAGUGGAAUUCCUAGUGUAGCGGUGAAAUGCGUAGAUAUUAGGAGGAACAUCAGUGGCGAAGGCGACUUUCUGGACUGUAACUGACGCUGAGGCACGAAAGUGUGGGGAGCAAACAGG